AUUAUUAAGAAAAAUUAUAUUGUUAGUAUAUAAAUUGUAUGAAAACAAAAAAUUAUGGCGGUAUUUUAAGCUUUUCAGAGGAAUUUGCUCUUUAAUGGAUAAAACACCUAAAUCUUACUAAAUUUAGUUAAACAGUUUGUAUACCACUAUUUAAGUAAUAAUUUGCUAUUAUUACUAAAAUUUAUAUUAAUUAAAAAAAGUUAAGUCAAGGUGCAGCAUAAAUUUUAGUAUGAAGUGAAUUACAUUUCUUUUAAGAAAAAUUUGUUGAAAAUAAAAUUUAGGAUUUGAAAGUAAAAUUUUAAUAGAAGGAAAAUUUGAAUUAAGCUCUAAAAUAUGUAC
RNAcentral lists this ribosomal RNA (339 nucleotides) under Haemaphysalis longicornis (longhorned tick). RNAcentral describes it as "partial 12S ribosomal RNA". Lineage: Eukaryota; Metazoa; Arthropoda; Arachnida; Ixodida; Ixodidae. The record is from RNAcentral.